CGCGGACGUAUUUCUUACAGCUCUGAGCAAAAAUUCAAAAUGAAUCAAAACUUUCAACAACGGAUCUCUUGGUUCUGGCAUCGAUGAAGAACGCAGCGAAAUGCGAUAAGUAAUGUGAAUUGCAGAAUUCAGUGAAUCAUCGAAUCUUUGAACGCAC
This 157-nucleotide ribosomal RNA is filed under the name Trichoderma asperellum. Its description in RNAcentral is "5.8S ribosomal RNA". The stretch from base 49 to 157 matches the Rfam family "5.8S ribosomal RNA", at positions 1 to 109 of the family's 154-position model. Rfam says of the family: 5.8S ribosomal RNA (5.8S rRNA) is a component of the large subunit of the eukaryotic ribosome. It is transcribed by RNA polymerase I as part of the 45S precursor that also contains 18S and 28S rRNA. Lineage: Eukaryota; Fungi; Ascomycota; Sordariomycetes; Hypocreales; Hypocreaceae. The record is from RNAcentral.